UACAGAGGGUGCAAGCGUUAAUCGGAGUUACUGGGCGUAAAGGGCGCGUAGGUGGUUCUAUGUGUGAGAUGUGAAAUCCCCGGGCUUAACCUGGGAACUGCAUCUUAAACUGUAGAGCUGGAGUACUGUAGAGGAUAGUGGAAUUUCCGGUGUAGCGGUGAAAUGCGUAGAGAUCGGAAGGAACACCAGUGGCGAAGGCGACUGUCUGGACAGAUACUGACACUGAGGCGCGAAAGCGUGGGGAGCAAACAGG
This 253-nucleotide ribosomal RNA is filed under the name uncultured bacterium. RNAcentral's name for it is "partial 16S ribosomal RNA". It matches the Rfam family "Bacterial small subunit ribosomal RNA", at positions 524 to 776 of the family's 1533-position model. The record is from RNAcentral.